This 288-nucleotide ribosomal RNA is filed under the name uncultured Rickettsiales bacterium. RNAcentral's name for it is "partial 16S ribosomal RNA". It matches the Rfam family "Bacterial small subunit ribosomal RNA", at positions 31 to 331 of the family's 1533-position model. The record is from RNAcentral. Lineage: Bacteria; Pseudomonadati; Pseudomonadota; Alphaproteobacteria; Rickettsiales.
GAACGCUGGCGGUAUGCUUAACACAUGCAAGUCGAACGAAUUUGCUUGGAGCUUGCUUCAAGUAAGUUAGUGGCAAACGGGUGAGUAACGCGUGGGAAUCUACCCAUCAGUACGGAAUAACAUUUGGAAACAGGUGCUAAUACCGUAUGUUCUCUACGGAGGAAAGAUUUAUCGCUGAUGGAUGAGCCCGCGUAAGAUUAGGUAGUUGGUGGGGUAAUGGCCUACCAAGCCGACGAUCUUUAGCUGGUCUGAGAGGAUGAUCAGCCACACUGGGACUGAGACACGGCC